This 382-nucleotide unclassified non-coding RNA is filed under the name uncultured bacterium. RNAcentral's name for it is "contains 16S-23S intergenic spacer region". The record is from RNAcentral.
UCUCGGCUUAUCACCGGCAGUCCCCCUAGAGUGCCCAACUGAAUGAUGGCAACUAAAGACGAGGGUUGCGCUCGUUGCGGGACUUAACCCAACAUCUCACGACACGAGCUGACGACAGCCAUGCAGCACCUGUGCACUAGCCAGCCGAACUGAAGGAUGAGGUCUCCCCCACCCACACGGGACAUGUCAAGAGCUGGUAAGGUUCUUCGCGUUGCGUCGAAUUAAACCACAUGCUCCACCGCUUGUGCGGGCCCCCGUCAAUUCCUUUGAGUUUCAGCCUUGCGGCCGUACUCCCCAGGCGGGGCACUUAUCGCGUUAGCUGCGACACGGAAGGGGUCGAUCCCACCCGCGUCUAGUGCCCAUCGUUUACGGCGUGGACUAC